RNAcentral lists this ribosomal RNA (382 nucleotides) under uncultured eukaryote. RNAcentral's name for it is "SSU rRNA". It matches the Rfam family "Eukaryotic small subunit ribosomal RNA", at positions 587 to 972 of the family's 1831-position model. The record is from RNAcentral.
AGCUCCAAUAGCGUAUAUUAAAGUUGUUGCCGUUAAAAAGCUCGUAGUCGAACUUCGGCUCCUGUUGGUCGGUCCGCCUUAUUGGUGUGUACUUACUCGAUGGGAGCUUACCUCUUGGUGAACUAUAAUGUGCUUUACUGUAUGUUAUAGGGAACCAGGACAUUUACUUUGAGAAAAUUAGAGUGUUCAAAGCAGGCCUACGCCCGAAUACAUUAGCAUGGAAUAAUAAAAUAGGACGCGCGUUCCCAUUUUGUUGGUUUCUGAGAUCGCCGUAAUGAUUAAUAGGGAUAGUUGGGGGCAUUUGUAUUCCGUCGUCAGAGGUGAAAUUCUUAGAUUGCCGGAAGACAAACUAUUGCGAAAGCAUUUGCCAAGGAUGUUUUCA